GGUGGCUCAGUGGUAGAGUACUUGCCUUGCAUGCAUGAGGCCCUAGGUUCAAUUCCUCAGCACCA
RNAcentral lists this transfer RNA (65 nucleotides) under Dipodomys ordii (Ord's kangaroo rat). It matches the Rfam family "tRNA". Rfam says of the family: Transfer RNA (tRNA) molecules are approximately 80 nucleotides in length. The record is from Rfam by way of RNAcentral. Lineage: Eukaryota; Metazoa; Chordata; Mammalia; Rodentia; Heteromyidae.